Long non-coding RNA from Struthio camelus australis, 2422 nucleotides. Ensembl annotates it as chromosome unknown open reading frame, human C1orf116. The record is from Ensembl. NCBI's taxonomy places the organism in Eukaryota, Metazoa, Chordata, Aves, Struthioniformes, Struthionidae.
UUUAUUAUUUACUAGACAAGUAGAACACAGAGCUGGUGGGAAGCUCUGGUAUAGCCUCACUUUUUAAAUCAGCUGACAGAAAGAGGUACUUUUAAAUGGCGAAUGCUCUCAGAUAUCUGGGCAAACAGCGGUCCCUUCGCGACCACUGGCUUGCCGCGCCUUUGCUCUCGGACGCCCCCGCCCCCUGCCGCAAGUGCGCGUGGCUGUGGCAUGACAGCGCUGGCGGGACCCCGGUGUGCCCUGACUCGUCCGCUGUCCACCCACGCCACCCCGCUUUAAACAGCUGGUGCUUCCACUUCCCUGUUCUGUGUAGCAGGGAGAACAUGUCGCAACACAUUUUUUUUUUUUUAAAUCAUUGAAGCAUGAAAACUUGAGCGAAUCUGGUGGCUGCAUCGCUAUAUCGCUCGGAUAUUCAUGGCUCUCCGAGGCAGAACGUCGCACGGAGCAGACGAAGGGGAAGAGCCGCUGGAAGAGAGAGGACGCGGCCGGGACAAGGAUUCGGUCACCGCGAAACGACGGACGACUUGGUAAAAACAACAAACGAACAAACCAACCCGGAACGAACACAACAGCUUGUAUUCCUUCUUGGUUUUUUCCUCCCUGUCCUUGUCCGGCGGGGAAGGAGCCGGGCGGCCGGAGGCUUCGCCUCGGGCUGAGACGGCGUCGCGGAAGCGUCGCUUCCAGGCGAUGGAGGGAGGAAGGGGGGUUAGAUCCAGCAGCUGCUGAUGGAAAUGUGAAUUCCUACAGCGAACCUAAGAGUGAUAACAGUUAUGACUACUUAUCUGUGGAAGAGAAAGAGUNNNNNNNNNNNNNNNNNNNNNNNNNNNNNNNNNNNNNNNNNNNNNNGGCUCGCUGGAUGCAGAAGCAGACAGCGGCGUCUCUACCGAUGAGACUGACUCUGCUGAGCCUGCCAAGCUGCCAAGGACGUGGCCCAAGAGAGACUCUGGUCCCAGGGAUUUGGAAAAGGGGGCUCCCGCGCAAAGCACAGGCCAGCAGCGUGCAACCGAACAAAAAAGCGAACAAAAAGCGAGCGCCUUCUCCAGCUCUGCUCCGGCAGCGUUUUCAAGUCCGGGCUAUUACAGUCUUCCAAGGAAUAUCGCUGCAGCGAACGCGCAAAGAGCAAACAAAGCUUCUGACAGCAAAGCAACUGCCCACGCCAUGGGGGACCCAGUGCCAAAAGAGAAACCUUGGCAGGAGACGGCCAGGGAGGAAAGGCUGGAUCAAGCCAGCGCAAGAUCCCAGGCGAAGCCGCUGGGCUCGAUAAUUAUCCAACCUCCCGAAGCUUUCCAGGAGGCCGUGGCGGCGCGCGGGGGGCUCUUGCUCAGCAGGGGCUCGGAUGGCAGCAGGGGGAAGGCAGAGCCCGAGAGCCGGGCUGCGGCGCCAGACCCCGGCCCGGAGAGGGAAGGCGCAGCUCUCGCCCGAGGCCUGAUGGAGAAACCAGCCUUAGAGGAGGAUUCGGACGCCAAGCGUGGGCCUCCCACCGCCCCCAAGCCGAGGAAGCUGCCGCCCAAAAACACCAUCUCAGCCGUCUGCCACCUUCCCGGCCAGCUGUGCCACCGCCGAAAAGCCGAACCCAGGGCACCUGGACCCUAAGGAGAGGGAGAAGGCUCGCCGGGAGGCGUUAGAGAAGCUCGGGCUCCCUCAGGAUAAAAGGGAGCCCAAUAUCCCCCUUAAAGCUGUUACUUCGCCCAAACCAAAAGAGGCGCCUGGAGCUGCGAGGAGGGACAACGGCACCAGUGAGGACGCGGCUGCCAUCACGGCUGCCGGAAGCCCGAAGAGGAGCACCAGGUGCUCCGCGGCCCAACAGAGAGGGUCGCCCCGGGCGCGAGACAGGUCAGCUUCAAGUCCAACACCCUGGAGCGCUCCGGCGUGGGGCUCAGCAGCUACAUCUCCAGCAAGGACCAGAGCGUUAAGAGCAGCAGCUCGCUCGGCAAGAUGUCCUUCAUCGAGAGGAUAGCGCCAAGCUUCCUCCGGAGCAGCCGCCCUCGCCCGGCCUCCCUCGGGACGGGGAAAGACUUUGCCAGCCUCAAGGAGCCCAACAACGCGGAGCUGGAGAAAAGCAGCAAGCGGAGAUCCCACCCGCUGCCGAGCUUCUCCAAGCCGGCCCGCUCCUCCUGCGUCAGCGUCAAGAUCUCCCCCAAGGGCGCCACCGAAGAGCACAGGCGAGAGGCUCUCAAGAAGCUCGGCCUGCUGAAGGAGUAGCUCCCGCUCGGCGCCCUGGAGCGAAGCGUGAGGCCAUGGUAGCAGAGCCUGUCGCCCCGAUCCCGGCCCCUCGGCCACCUUUCUUCCUGCGGACAACUACGAGCGUCCCCGGCUGACGGGAUCCCUUGCCCCUAGCCUCUCGGGGGGGACGGACCUGAGCUGAUGCUGCCACCAGAGGUGUUCAGAGCUUCUUGCCAAAUAAAGUCACAUCACACGUACA